This 314-nucleotide ribosomal RNA is filed under the name uncultured bacterium. RNAcentral's name for it is "partial 16S ribosomal RNA". It matches the Rfam family "Bacterial small subunit ribosomal RNA", at positions 499 to 807 of the family's 1533-position model. The record is from RNAcentral.
UUAUAAGAGACAGCAGUAGCCACGGUAAUACAGAGGGUGCGAGCGUUAAUCGGAUUUACUGGGCGUAAAGCGUGCGUAGGCGGCUUUUUAAGUCGGAUGUGAAAUCCCUGAGCUUAACUUAGGAAUUGCAUUCGAUACUGGGAAGCUAGAGUAUGGGAGAGGAUGGUAGAAUUCCAGGUGUAGCGGUGAAAUGCGUAGAGAUCUGGAGGAAUACCGAUGGCGAAGGCAGCCAUCUGGCCUAAUACUGACGCUGAGGUACGAAAGCAUGGGGAGCAAACAGGAUUAGAUACCCGUGUAGUCCCUGUCUCUUAUAC